AGAUAAAAAGGUUAAUUCUAGCAAUUCUAUAAUUAUUAUUUUAAUACGUGAUUUAUAUAACUUUAAAAUAGGGUAAUUAAAGAUUCAUUCCAUGUAUUUUGUUUCUAGAGUGAACUUUUCAACUCGCAAUUGUGUUUUUCUCAUCAGCAAAGUUUAUAUUUUAAUAAAACUAUAUCUAAAGACAUACUAUUUCAUAAUCAUCAUCAACAAACCUUAAUAUUUGAAAUAACUUGCAAUUUUUAACUACGGAACAGAUUAUCAUUAGUAAGACAAUUAAAGGAACUCCAGAAUUAUGUCCCUUGUUUAGGUUCGUUUAUAAAUUUCAAUUCCAACACGAAAUCUUUAAUCAAUGAAUUGAAAUUGUAUUUAUUUAGUAUUAAAAUAUGGAAAAAAAAUACUUAAAGUUUUUAGAGAACCAAACGUUUUUAAUUAUACAUUCUAAAGGUGUCUAUAUAAUGAGUUCUAUAAAAUACAAUUUAGCUUAAACGUUAAUUUGUAUAGAAGGAAGGCUGCUUCAUACACCAGUAAACAACGAAAAUUAAGUGAUCAUGACUUUAUGCUGCUGAAAAAGAUAAGACUGAUAUGAUUGAGAAUGAAGUCACUAAAGUUGAAAUGUCUAUGUUGCAUAUGGGAGAUGCAUGGACACAGAAGAUUAGGCAGGAAUGAAGAAAGUACAUCCUGAAGAUGCCAGUAUCUGAGUCGCAGACAUUGAGCCAGUAGUAAUUAAUCACCAUUCAAUGACAAUAGCAACAUCAGCUACAGAAAAAGCAAGAAACCAAUACUCAGCAUCAAGUGCUAGAAUGUUUGGAUGAUGACAAACUUAUGAAAAAAAACCUUCAAGUCAUCCAUGACAUUCACAACAAACACACACACAUGCACACAUACACACACACACAUGAACAAGUCUCACCUAGUAUUGCAAAUCCAACAAGACCAUCAAGGUAAUGGAAAACAUUUCCAUGUAUCACACAAUCCUCAGUCUUUCAUACGUUCCAAAAUGCAGCUGGUCUCUUACCAAAAAGCUCCUGAUCAAUGUCAUAUAAUUUUCUUUUCUUCCACCUGUCACCCAUGGUGACUCUGUAAGACAUACUCAUGUGGAAAAAAGCCUCUAUAUUUGCCUUUUGAUUCACACUGAGCUCAAGCCUGUCGCCAGACUUUGGUGCUUGAGGGUGCUUCAGAAUAUUCUGGUUGGGUACUAAUUUGUAAUAACGCUAAAGUGGUGUUUCCAAAAUAAGUGUAUCAGUGUAAAUUAGAGUGUGUACCAUUUAAUAGUGAAGGGGCAUUACUCACACAACACACUGCUAAGCUAGUCCCUAUCCACACCAAACUCUCUCUCUGUCUCUCUCUCUCUACAUUAGAAUCAUUAGAAACAAGCUACAUUGAAUCCCAUUCCCAAGAAUGACAACCUUCUGCUCCCGCAGAUGAUAGUUUAUGAAUUUGUUUUGCAAGAUUCCUGAUAUGAAAUUGUGUGUUGAAACAGAUAUUGUUAUAUUUCAGGUUGGUAAUUUUUUUUUUUUUUUUUCAAACCAAAUAAACACAUGGACUGUACAUUCGUUCUUCAUUCAUUUAUCAUUGUUCUUAUUUUAUCUUACAUCCAUUGUCUGGAAAUAUUUCAUCACACAUCUGUGACCUCUUCGGCGACUCUUCCGUCCUACAUGUAUCCUCCUGUUCCAAUUAGUCUAUUCUGUCUUUCUAUGAUGUGUAUCGCACUACUCUCUCACACACACACAGGUAAGAAUACACAUUAUAAAAAGACAGAAUGGACAAAACAGAACAGGAGGAUAUGCAUGGGAUGGAAGA
Octopus bimaculoides (California two-spot octopus) is the source of this 1800-nucleotide long non-coding RNA. NCBI's taxonomy places the organism in Eukaryota, Metazoa, Mollusca, Cephalopoda, Octopoda, Octopodidae. The record is from RefSeq and is a predicted model, not a curated record.